RNAcentral lists this ribosomal RNA (321 nucleotides) under uncultured bacterium. Its description in RNAcentral is "bacterial SSU rRNA". It matches the Rfam family "Bacterial small subunit ribosomal RNA", at positions 28 to 342 of the family's 1533-position model. The record is from RNAcentral.
GACGAACGCUGGCGGCGUGCUUAAUACAUGCAAGUGGAGCGACGAACCAGGCUUCGGCCUGGGGCAGAGCCGCGAACGGGUGAGUAACACGUGGGUAACCUGCCUCGAUGACCGGGACAACCCGGGGAAACCCGGGCUAAUACCGGAUGUGCUGUCCCCACAUCAGUGGAGACAGGAAAGGAAGCUUCGGCCUCCGCAUCCGAGAUGGGCCCGCGGCCCAUUAGCUUGUUGGUGUGGAACGGCUCACCAAGGCUGCGAUGGGUAGCUGGUCUGAGAGGACGAUCAGCCACACUGGGACUGAGACACGGCCCAGACUCCUAC